RNAcentral lists this ribosomal RNA (1944 nucleotides) under Triticum aestivum (bread wheat). RNAcentral describes it as "partial small subunit ribosomal RNA". Lineage: Eukaryota; Viridiplantae; Streptophyta; Magnoliopsida; Poales; Poaceae. The record is from RNAcentral.
AUGGUGCGACCUCUUGGAUUCAUUGCGCUACACAUUCCGGAGGUGGAUAGCCCGCCCGACCAGAUUUCAUGGCGCCUGGAACCGUCUGGGAGGUUCUCCACUAAAUCUCUCUACCAGGCCAUCCUACCUACGCCCGCCACGUCCCCCUUUGCCCAGGUGUGGGACAUUAGGCUCCCCCUGAAGAUCCGAAUUUUCCUAUGGCAAUGGAUCCGGGGCCACAUCUCGUCUGGCGUGGAGGUGCUUAAACAGAAUGGUCCUGGUGACGGCUUGUGCCCCCUUUGUGGGACGGUCGUUGGUGCAACUCCAACUUUCCCGACCUCUUCGACGACCUUCAGGCCUCACCUCCGCAGGCUCGCCACAUUAGGUGGCUUUGCAUCGGUGUACUCGUGUGGACCCUUUGGACUGUUCGCAACCGUCUACUUUGGUGGCCACUUAGCCACACCCCGGACCGAGACGCCAUCUCCUCCAUCUUUACAGAUCUGCGUGCGAUUGCUCCUCGCUUGUCUCCAUCGCUCCCGCCACCACCUCCAGAGCUGGAUUAGCCUUGGGGAAAAGCGUUGGGCUAGCGCCGAGCCAGCGCCAGAGCUAACCACCCGUCUCAUGUCAUCGUCGCCGCAAGGGCCCCUCCUCAGCAUCUCCGACUUCAGGAAGACAAAGCGGGGCAUGGCAACCCCUCGAACACGUCGGAAGAGACCAACUACCAAGACCCAUCUGCAAGCCUGCUCUGCUCGAAACUGCCAUCGUUACCACACAAGAAGCCGCGCUAACAUCCACAUCACCGGACGGGCAGCAGCCGACCGCAAUGUCGCGAGUGUCCAGCCCAUGAAGCGUGCAAAUGGGAACCAAUGCUCUUCAAGAGCAAGGUCCGAGGGUGGCGGACACGAGGCUCCACGACGGCGCCUCCAAGGAGGUGAAACGACGCCGCCGGCCGGAACCUGGCAAAACUUUCGCCCGGAGCACCCGUCACCACCGGCACCCCCACGCUGGCCCGCCCACCUCUGCGAAGACGUCGCGCCAGCAACAUCGGAGAGCCACCACAACCCACUCCUCACCGGCAGCCAGAGCAGCAUCGGCAAGCCAGAUCUGGCCGCCUGCCAGAUCCACAUUCCCCCACCUCAGGCAGCCAAAGGGACCGCAUCCAGCACGCAGCCACCACGCACACGAGUACACCGCCCACGAGCAGGGGCACGAGGGCCGCCACCCCUCCGCACCCGCGCUGGCCGAGUCCAGAAGCACGAGAUCCGCGCUGGGAUCCGCCGUCGCUGCACACUGGGAGCCGCCGCCGCAACACAAAGGGGCGUCCGCGGAGAAGCCAACCACCGAGACGCCACGGUCGCAGGGCCGCCGAAGCCGCCGGGCCGCCAAAGCCGCCACCCCUCCUCACCUGCGCCGGCCGGAUCCGGAAGCGCUAGCGCGAGAUCCACGCAGGGAGCCACCGACGCUGCACAUGGGAAGCCGCCGCGGCUGCGCCGCCGAGCCGGGGGAAAGAGCGCCUCCCACCACCAAGGAACCUCGUCGCCGCGCAGCGAACGCCCCGCCGCCGCCGUCCGCACCGCGGGCUUAGCCCGGCCACAUCUUCCGGCGGCGGUGAGGGGGGAGGAGAGGGGUGCGGCACCGGCCGGCGAGAAGGGAUCCCCCGAGUCGCCUGGGGACGACGCGGGGGUCGGGAGGCUGGUCUCUGGAAACGGUAAAAGUUCCCGCGGAUCAUGGACUGUUUUUCUUGCCAAGUUUGCAAGUCCCAAGUUUCAGAAGGAUGCCACACGUACAACACCACACAUACGAUUUCUGUACGCCACUGAAGAUCGAAUCAUUCACACCCAGAAGCAAAAUGCAGCAGGCCGGACAAAAAAAGCAUCAAAAAGAGCAGGGAGCAAUCCAUACCAAGCCAUGCAGAUAAACCAUGGUCGGGAGAGGCGAUCCUAUCUUCCAAACCAUAUAUGCUGA